This 69-nucleotide transfer RNA is filed under the name Ovis aries (sheep). It matches the Rfam family "tRNA". Rfam says of the family: Transfer RNA (tRNA) molecules are approximately 80 nucleotides in length. Lineage: Eukaryota; Metazoa; Chordata; Mammalia; Artiodactyla; Bovidae. The record is from Rfam by way of RNAcentral.
CCUGGUGGCUCAGAGGUUAAAGCGUCUGCCUACAAUGCGGGAGACCCGGGUUCGAUCCCUGGGUCAGGA